Molecule: long non-coding RNA, 422 nt
Filed under: Triticum aestivum (bread wheat)
Lineage: Eukaryota; Viridiplantae; Streptophyta; Magnoliopsida; Poales; Poaceae
Description: long non-coding RNA (TAES_LNC014556)
Source: RNAcentral
CACCAAACUAAUAUUAAGUCUGGUACAUAAAUUUUCUAUUCAUGAACUGACAAUAUUUCUUCUAUGUGGAAUACACAAGAUCUCCUCAAUGGGCCAUGAUGCAGGCAUCGCCGCAGGAAAUACUUGGCGCACCGAAGAACCUGUACUGUUGGAUUUGUCGAGAGAGGACUGAGGGAACACGCCAACGUUAGGGUGGCGGAUGCAAGUAUUGGAGUUCAGCCUAAAAUCACAAGAGAAUGGAUCAAAAUGAAUUCAGAUUGACUUCUAAUCAUUUAUCAAGCUAUAAAAGUUAGAACUGAUGUUACACAAACUGAGGCAUUUUUUAUAUGAACAACUCACGUAAUUUGUAUAGUACCACUGUUUUUUCAUUCUCAUGAACAAAUAACCAUAGACUAAUGAGAGAAUGUAUUACUCGAUAGUAG